Molecule: long non-coding RNA, 410 nt
Organism: Pantherophis guttatus
Lineage: Eukaryota; Metazoa; Chordata; Lepidosauria; Squamata; Colubridae
Source: RefSeq, a predicted model, not a curated record
UUAAUCAUUCUGGCAGUUCUAGAAUAGUUAGGGACCAAAAUUCUGGUUAUUAAUUGUCAGGCUUACAUUCAGAGUGAUUGGUGGUUGCAGUCACUGUACUGUCAAAACUUCAUAGCUAGCUAUCUGAAGGCUGGCAUCUCAUAAAAGUCUUACAAAGUAACCAACUGAAUGGAGAAAUCAUGCUGUGAACCUUGAAAUGAAAGACAAGAAUGAAACUCAGGUCAUUAGGCAACUGAAGGUGGAACAUGGAAUAUGUGAUAAAUAGUAAAGGAGCAAUGAACGAUAGAAUAUGUAAGCAUGCAAUAUGAUGGGGAAGACUGGACAAAACUGCUAACUAUCAGAAUAACUAUUGGAAGGAACUAGUCAAAACAAUACUGUAAACUUAACAAUAAAUUCUUCUUGAUAGCAGA